Molecule: long non-coding RNA, 2084 nt
Organism: Felis catus (domestic cat)
Lineage: Eukaryota; Metazoa; Chordata; Mammalia; Carnivora; Felidae
Exons: 3
Source: RefSeq, a predicted model, not a curated record
GAGAGCAGGAGCCACUUCUGGAGACCCUUCCCCCGUCCCCGACCUGCCCUUCCAUCAUCUCUUUCUAUCUGGCACUGGGUUUUACUUCCAAAUUCUCCCACCAGUAUCUGAAGCGUUUUCUCUACUUAGAAAUCCAUCUCAGCAAACGAACAUGCCUGAAGUUUUCAUUCGUGAAGUUCAGGGUAUGUCUUUUGGAAAUGAUUUUUUCCUUUGAAAUUCUAGAUCCAAAUCUCAAAAGGGCCAGACUGGGAGCCCAGUGGAAGAACAGGAGAGAGGAAUUGAAGAAUUUCCUUCGUGCGUGUAUUACGUCCUGCUAAAUGGAAUGCCGAGGAGCUUCGAUGGAAGCAUCUCUUCAGGAUUGAUUCACUGCCUCUGGAAAUGGGCCUGAGUUUCCCGCGCAGGUGUGGCACGUUGGAGGAGGAACAGCAAGGAGAGAAAGGCUGUGACAUUUCGUCUUCUCUCAGUUCAUCUCAUCUACUCCAGCUUUGGUGAGGAAACUGAGGCACAGAGAGAUCAUGCAAACUGCUGUAAGAACUAGUUAAGUUAGAGUUUGAACCUGGGCAGUCUGACUCCAGAGCCUACACACGGAACCACCAGGUGCUUUUGUCUCUUCCUUUGGGGCCCAGCUUCGGUACACAGGGUUAGAGGACAGUGGGUUAUGUCACAAAAUGGAGAAGCGACACCUAGAAGGGAUGCUGUGUCAUUAGUAACCUUCGAGUGAGGUGAAAAGCUACCUCUUCUGCCUGCAAUCACUUCGGAAGUAAUCUGACCCAAAGUAAUCAGAGUAUCUGUUUCUUUGGGGGCUGCUGAAAGUGUGACAGAGAUGUGACCAGACGUCUCUGUCAGGCUGAUCCUUCCCUUGGCUUGCCAGGAGCUCCGGGCCGGCCUGGGUGGGGCACCCACCGAGUGCUUGCUGAGGAUGGGUUGACCUCAUGGCAACACAGCCACGCCUUAACGGAGGCAAACUCUGACAAUGUGGAUAAAUGAAGAGAUGGCUUAUUAGCCUUUAACGAAGACUAACCACAGAAUUCUCUAGAGUAAGAUACACGUAUCAAAUUCCUUUUGUAUCUACCUUUUCACCAGAGCACCUGCUGGAAAAGGGAGGCGAUACGUCCAACAGUUGUGUGCGUAGGUUGUGUGUUUAGGUUUACAGCCAGGUGACCUCAGGUGUGCCCCUCAACAGCCUCAUCUGUGAAAGGGUAUCUAUCUCAUAGGCUGUAAUGAAGACAAAAUCAGAUAAUCCAGGUAAAGAGACUCAGAGUGUGGUCCUCGGACCAGCAGCAGCUCACAGGCUGCCUUCUCAGAAAUGCAGACUUCAGGUCCCAUCCCAGACUUGCUGGGCCAGAAUCUGUGUUUGGCCCUCCAGGUAGUUCACCUGCACGGUCCUUCAUCACGAAUACUGAAUUGGCGGAGCCAUAGUAAAGCGAACACAUGAUCACUGUGAGUUGUCAUUUUACAAACUGAGAUCAUUUACCGUCAAAGCGAAUUCAGCAUCGCUGUUCUGGGAGUAAAGUAUGCAAAGGGGGAGCGGCCUCGGAAACGAACUGCGAGUUCCCGGUUGGAACCCCCCUCCCCUGUCUCCACUAUUUGCCAUUUUUCUAAAUUCUCAGAGAUGGAGAGAAAGCACCUGAAGAAAGUAGCAGAGACUAUCUGGGGAAACCGUUGGGAGAACCAAAGUCAGGGAAACAAACAGUCACAAAACAUACAGCUUUUGCAUCAGGCAGUGAUGGAGGCUGGCAGGUCAUGCCUAGUACCGAAACUAGAAAAGGCUUUUUAAAAACAAAAAAUUACUAUUAUUAUUAUUUUCAGCACAACCCAAGCCUCCUGCCAGAUCAUGGCUCUUAAUGUAAGUGCACAGUUACUGCUCAAAAGUGAUUCACAGGUCUUUAAAGAGCCACUCUCCUUUGGAAGUCAGUUUAGAACGCAGAGGGUUUGAAGAUUAGUGUUGAGAGUGAGAGCAUUUGACUGCCUAAGGAUUCAAUCUCUCAGGUGCUUAGAUAUUUCGCAGCGAGAACUGAUGUUCAUUAAACUGUAAGCAAAUUAGAGUUCAAGCCAAAGAUAUAAAGGAAGACGUAAUUAGUGUA